Molecule: ribosomal RNA, 983 nt
Filed under: uncultured bacterium
Lineage: Bacteria
Description: bacterial SSU rRNA
Rfam family: Bacterial small subunit ribosomal RNA
Source: RNAcentral
UGCAGUCGANCGGCAGCGCGGGGCAACCUGGCGGCGAGUGGCGAACGGGUGAGUAAUAUAUCGGAACGUGCCCUGGAGUGGGGGAUAACGCAGCGAAAGUUGCGCUAAUACCGCAUACGAUCUAAGGAUGAAAGCGGGGGAUUCGCAAGAACCUCGUGCUCCUGGAGCGGCCGAUAUCUGAUUAGCUAGUUGGUGGAGUAAAGGCCUACCAAGGCAUCGAUCAGUAGCUGGUCUGAGAGGACGACCAGCCACACUGGAACUGAGACACGGUCCAGACUCCUACGGGAGGCAGCAGUGGGGAAUUUUGGACAAUGGGCGAAAGCCUGAUCCAGCAAUGCCGCGUGAGUGAAGAAGGCCUUCGGGUUGUAAAGCUCUUUUGUCAGGGAAGAAACGGUGAAGGCUAAUAUCCUUUGCUAAUGACGGUACCUGAAGAAUAAGCACCGGCUAACUACGUGCCAGCAGCCGCGGUAAUACGUAGGGUGCAAGCGUUAAUCGGAAUUACUGGGCGUAAAGCGUGCGCAGGCGGUUUUGUAAGUCUGUCGUGAAAUCCCCGGGCUCAACCUGGGAAUUGCGAUGGAGACUGCAAGGCUAGAAUCUGGCAGAGGGGGGUAGAAUUCCACGUGUAGCAGUGAAAUGCGUAGAGAUGUGGAGGAACACCGAUGGCGAAGGCAGCCCCCUGGGUCAAGAUUGACGCUCAUGCACGAAAGCGUGGGGAGCAAACAGGAUUAGAUACCCUGGUAGUCCACGCCCUAAACGAUGUCUACUAGUUGUCGGGUUUUAAUUAACUUGGUAACGCAGCUAACGCGUGAAGUAGACCGCCUGGGGAGUACGGUCGCAAGAUUAAAACUCAAAGGAAUUGACGGGGACCCGCACAAGCGGUGGAUGAUGUGGAUUAAUUCGAUGCAACGCGAAAAACCUUACCUACCCUUGACAUGUACGGAAGCCACGAGAGAUCGAGGCGUGCUCGAAAGANAGCCGUAACA